Molecule: long non-coding RNA, 659 nt
Organism: Capsicum annuum
Lineage: Eukaryota; Viridiplantae; Streptophyta; Magnoliopsida; Solanales; Solanaceae
Exons: 2
Source: RefSeq, a predicted model, not a curated record
GGUGGGAUGCUAUAGUGGACCACUUGCAGUUUAAAAGGGAGGAGAAAUGGGUAUCACCAUAAUUAUAUUCUUAAAUCACAUCUUUCCUUUCGUAGCCGAUCAAGCACUCCUUCCUGAUAUCCGCAUUAAGGAGACAUAUAUUUCAUGUUAUAGGCACAGGUGAUUUGGCAAACGGGACUCCUUAGUAGAAGCCCAGGAUAUCCAGCUGCUAUUGGUGAGCUCCAGGUUGCUUCAGGGCUUUCCGAGUCUGUUCCAUAUAUUUUGGUAUUGUGCAGAAGGUCAAGAGUAUGGCGGGGGUUUGUCCCGACCCUAAAUAAGUCUAUGUAUCUUUUAGAGGCUUUUUAUACUAAUGUAAAGUUAUGGUAGUGUCUUGUCUCUAGAUGUACUAACCCCAAUGGCCAAGUGUUGUAUAUAUCAGUUGGUUUUUUCAUGUGUUACUAUACUCAUCGAUACAUAAUAUCAUUUUUUUCAAAACCUUUGGUAGUCAUAGUUACAUGCAUGGGAAGUACAAGAUUAUGAAUUAGUUCUCUCGAGCCUUUACGGCUAUGGGUGCAUGUCUGCUCUAAUAGGAUUUGAGGUGUAACAAGUUCCUAAGGUUUUUAUUGUGUAUUUAUAUGUGAAACAACUUUUUGUUAAUAUUCAAGGGCCAAUUGGAUCAA